UUAAAUGAUGCGCCUCGCUUUUGCGGUACGCGCAUAUAAUGUAUAUAUGUGUGGGUUAUCGGGGGACAAAAGUGAAAGUGCACAAAUUUUAACGCUUUUACUAAUUUCGUGAAAAUAACGUUAAAAGCUGAGGACGAUUAAUCAUGCAUCAUGUGGUGACGUUGAUAGCCGAAAGACAAGGGAGUACAUGCACUAAUUGGCCUUUGUCUUAAUUGUUGAGUGUUAUGUGCCUUAUGUCCAAGGUUUGAUGCAAAACUACCAUCGAACCGGGGGUCUCAUUAAAAGCAGUCUCUCUAUUCCUACGGGGUAGAGGUAAGGCUGUCUAUAUCUUACCCUCCUCAGACCCUACAUUUACUUUGCUAUUGGUGGAAUUUAGUAAGUAUGAUGAUGAUGAUGAACGUUAUAGCAUAUGCCAACCAGUUUUAUAAUCAAAGAAUCC
This 439-nucleotide long non-coding RNA is filed under the name Helianthus annuus (common sunflower). The record is from RNAcentral. Lineage: Eukaryota; Viridiplantae; Streptophyta; Magnoliopsida; Asterales; Asteraceae.